CACACUCAUCCCCUUCCCAAGGGAGACCCUCCUGCAUCCAGCUGAAAGUCUGGGGUCUCUGGCGUAGACUGCAUUAGGUCAGAGGUGCCCCGUCUUGAUCUAGAGAUCUAUGAACUAAAAAGACACACACUUGACUGAUGCAGCAGAGUGGAGAAGGGGUAGGAUGAGUGCAAGAAAACACUCCCAUUUCAAACAGGGAAGAGUGAGAGACACAGAGUGGUCACAGCUCUGCAGCCGUUCUGAAAUUCCCCUGUGAGACAAGGUGAAGACUUUCUAGCAUGAGGUGGGAGAGCUCCUAGAGAAUGGGAGAUCAACAGAGAGAAGCAAAAAGGUCUGCUAGCAAAGGAGCCAAAUAAGCAUUUGCAAUUUGUUGGAGGCGGACAAAGAACAGAGACCCCAGAGUGCAAAACACCUCCACACAGAUCUCUCGUUGGCUUCAUCCCUGUCUUCAACCAUAUGAGCUCUACUAUGUGUAAGACCAAUGAGGAUUUUUGGUGAACGAUAGAGUUGAAUAAAAUACAAUUACGCUCCUUGUGGACCUGGCAUUCCCUGGAAUGGCUUCAAAAAGGGGGUGCAGUAAAGGCAGUUAUGGCCAAAUUUCUGAGAAGCUUACUGUUGACUCUGCUGGAUUGUCAUGUUUUCAUGGCCAAAGCACUCCCUGGGACACCUGCCCCCAGUCGUCGUGUUUGUUCUCAGUAUCUCCUCACAGCCUAAUCGUAGAGUCAUUGCAAGGUGGGAGUCCUCAGCAUCCUGUUAAGCCUGGACCAGCUGAGCAUGACAGUUGCGUUGUCCUCACCCUCUGGCCACAUCACGCUCCCAAACAGUGGAGAUUUUAGGACAGAAAUGACAUCAUGGAUUUUGUUUACUGUGGCCUAUCUUCAAUGACCUGAGUCAAGACAGUCUGUCGCUUGGACUUGCCGUAGAGUGAAGAAUACUGGCUUUGGAGUGGGAACAACCUGGAGUUCAGUGCUCUGCCACUUGCCAGCAUUGUAACCGUGGUCAGUGACUUACCUUUCUGGAAUUCCCUCUUUCUCCUCUGUAAUAUAGGAGUAAUAGUAACAGGCAACUCAAAGGACUCUUACGAGGAUCGAAUGAGAUGACCCAUGUGAAGUGUUUAAGCCUGGACCUGGACCGCAGUAACCCUAAAUAAAUUUAGCCCUUAAUAUGGCUUUUUUAGGCCUAUUUGAUCUUA
RNAcentral lists this long non-coding RNA (1192 nucleotides) under Equus caballus (horse). Its description in RNAcentral is "lncRNA (ENSECAG00000048132.1)". The record is from RNAcentral. Lineage: Eukaryota; Metazoa; Chordata; Mammalia; Perissodactyla; Equidae.